GGGGGGCAUAUCUGCAAGUCGAGCGAGCUUGCCUAGAUGAUUUUAGUGCUUGCACUAAAUGAAACUAGAUACAAGCGAGCGGCGGACGGGUGAGUAACACGUGGGUAACCUGCCCAAGAGACUGGGAUAACACCUGGAAACAGAUGCUAAUACCGGAUAACAACACUAGACGCAUGUCUAGAGUUUGAAAGAUGGUUCUGCUAUCACUCUUGGAUGGACCUGCGGUGCAUUAGCUAGUUGGUAAGGUAACGGCUUACCAAGGCAAUGAUGCAUAGCCGAGUUGAGAGACUGAUCGGCCACAUUGGGACUGAGACACGGCCCAAACUCCUACGGGAGGCAGCAGUAGGGAACCUUCCACAAUGGACGAAAGUCUGAUGGAGCAACGCCGCGUGAGUGAAGAAGGGUUUCGGCUCGUAAAGCUCUGUUGGUAGUGAAGAAAGAUAGAGGUAGUAACUGGCCUUUAUUUGACGGUAAUUACUUAGAAAGUCACGGCUAACUACGUGCCAGCAGCCGCAGUAAUACGUAGGUGGCAAGCGUUGUCCGGAUUUAUUGGGCGUAAAGCGAGUGCAGGCGGUUCAAUAAGUCUGAUGUGAAAGCCUUCGGCUCAACCGGAGAAUUGCAUCAGAAACUGUUGAACUUGAGUGCAGAAGAGGAGAGUGGAGCUCCAUGUGUAGCGGUGGAAUGCGUAGAUAUAUGGAAGAACACCAGUGGCGAAGGCGGCUCUCUGGUCUGCAACUGACGCUGAGGCUC
This 750-nucleotide ribosomal RNA is filed under the name uncultured bacterium. RNAcentral's name for it is "bacterial SSU rRNA". It matches the Rfam family "Bacterial small subunit ribosomal RNA", at positions 41 to 754 of the family's 1533-position model. The record is from RNAcentral.